RNAcentral lists this ribosomal RNA (215 nucleotides) under Escherichia coli. RNAcentral describes it as "partial 23S ribosomal RNA". It matches the Rfam family "Bacterial large subunit ribosomal RNA", at positions 230 to 483 of the family's 2925-position model. Lineage: Bacteria; Pseudomonadati; Pseudomonadota; Gammaproteobacteria; Enterobacterales; Enterobacteriaceae. The record is from RNAcentral.
CGAGAUUCCCCCAGUAGCGGCGAGCGAACGGGGAGCAGCCCAGAGCCUGAAUCAGUGUGUGUGUUAGUGGAAGCGUCUGGAAAGGCGCGCGAUACAGGGUGACAGCCCCGUACACAAAAAUGCACAUGCUGUGAGCUCGAUGAGUAGGGCGGGACACGUGGUAUCCUGUCUGAAUAUGGGGGGACCAUCCUCCAAGGCUAAAUACUCCUGACUGA